CAGUUAAAAAGCUCGUAGUUGAAUUUCGGGGUCAGUGAGUUGGUCGUGCCACUGGUAUGCACUGGCUUUACUGAUUCCUCCUUCUUGAAGAACUGUAAUGCUAUUAAUUUAGUGUUGCAGGGAAACAGGACUGUUACUUUGAAAAAAUUAGAGUGUUUAAAGCAGGCUAACGCUUGAAUACAUUAGCAUGGAAUAAUGAAAUAGGACGUUUGAUCCUAUUUUGUUGGUUUCUAGGAUUGACGUAAUGAUUAAUAGGGAUAGUUGGGGGCAUUAGUAUUCAAUUGUCAGAGGUGAAAUUCUUGGAUUUAUUGAAGACUGACUACUGCGAAAGCAUUUGCCAAGGAUGUUUUCAUUAAUCAAGAACGAAAGUUAGGGGAUCGAAGACGAUCAGAUACCGUCGUAGUCUUAACCAUAAACUAUGCCGA
This 425-nucleotide ribosomal RNA is filed under the name Glomus arbuscular mycorrhizal symbiont 118-3. Its description in RNAcentral is "SSU rRNA". It matches the Rfam family "Eukaryotic small subunit ribosomal RNA", at positions 616 to 1045 of the family's 1831-position model. The record is from RNAcentral. Lineage: Eukaryota; Fungi; Glomeromycota; Glomeromycetes; Glomerales; Glomeraceae.